AGAGUUUGAUCCUGGCUCAGAUUGAACGCUGGCGGCAGGCCUAACACAUGCAAGUCGAGCGGUAACAGGGAGUGCUUGCACUCUGCUGACGAGCGGCGGACGGGUGAGCAAUACUUGGGUAUCUGCCCGAUAGUGGGGGACAACACGGGGAAACUCGUGCUAAUACCGCAUACGCCCUACGGGGGAAAGCAGGCUUCGGCUUGCGCUAUCGGAUGAGCCCAAGUCGGAUUAGCUAGUUGGUGAGAUAAAAGCUCACCAAGGCGACGAUCCGUAACUGGUCUGAGAGGAUGAUCAGUCACAC
RNAcentral lists this ribosomal RNA (301 nucleotides) under uncultured bacterium. RNAcentral describes it as "bacterial SSU rRNA". It matches the Rfam family "Bacterial small subunit ribosomal RNA", at positions 8 to 313 of the family's 1533-position model. The record is from RNAcentral.